This 234-nucleotide long non-coding RNA is filed under the name Lathyrus oleraceus (garden pea). Its description in RNAcentral is "Pisum sativum (pea) long non-coding RNA (PSAT_LNC027241)". The record is from RNAcentral. Lineage: Eukaryota; Viridiplantae; Streptophyta; Magnoliopsida; Fabales; Fabaceae.
CAAGUCCAAGAUUUUUCUAUUAUAUUUUAUUUAUUUAUUUAUUUUAUUUUAUUUUAUUUUUCUUUUUUCGUUUAUUUUUUUUGCAUAACACGUGGGUUUCGCUUAUCGAGCAUGACAGCUCAUGAACAAACAUUUGCUCCUUCAAGAUUAACAUUUUGACUGACGAAUAGACCCCUGUUGGAAGUAACUCAAGUCUUUCCCUUUUGUUGACUGAUCAUCUAAAUAGAACCCACA